UAUUAGUCACUUUUUAUCCAGUUUAUUAUUCUGCUAUAAAAUAUAAGGAGAAAAUGAACAAAACUUUUAUUUAAGUCUACUCAGUGGUGCACUAGAACCAGUUCACAUCAGUUCCUAGGGCUGAAUCUUCUCAUCUUUUCCCAAAUUGUGAUCAAUCACACCAAUACGGUGCACUGAACCUGCAUUGAACCCUGCCAUGGUGGGUGUAUUAGUUUUCUAUGGCUGUAACAAGAAAUUACCAUGAAUUCAGUGAUUUAAAACAAGUUAAUAUUUUAGUUAUGUAGGUUAGAAGUCUGUCACAAAUCUAUGAGGUGCCUGGGUGGCUCAGUCCAUUAAGCAUCCAACUCUUGGUUUUGGCUCAGGUCAUGAUCUCAUGGGCUAUGGGACUGACCCAUACGUCAGGCUUUGCAGUCAUCAGGGAGUCUGCUUGGGGAUUCUCUCUUUCUGAGACCUCACCACCCCCCACUUGCUCAUUCUCUCUCUAAAAUUAAUACAUCUUAAUAGAAAAAAAAGGAAGUCUGUUACAGGUCUUAUUGGACUGAAUUUCUUUCUGGAAACUAAGAAAAUCCAUUUCUGUAAAUUUUCCAGAUUCUAGAGGCCUCCCACAUUCUCUGGCGCAUGGCCUCUUUCUUCAUCCUUAAAAGCCAGCAACAUUGUAUUUCUUUGAUCAUUAUUUUAUAGUCACACCUCCUUGUGGCUUUCUUCUUUAGCCUGUUUCUUCCACUUUGAAGGACUCUUCUAAUUACACCGAGUCCUAUAUAAUUCAAGAUAAUGUCCCUAUGUUAAGGUCAGUGGAUUAGCAACAUUAAUUUCAUCUGCAACUUAUUUCUCCUUUGCCAUUCUUAGAUUCCAGGCAUUAGGAAGUGAACUACUUUGCGGGGGGUGGGAGUGGGAAGGGGGAUUAAUCUGCCAAUAACAGAAAUUGGUAAAUACUACAAAUCAUAAUUCUUCCUCCCAGAAAGCUGGUUGUUAAACAUUUACCAGCACAUCACUGCCACAAGUAAUCACAAAAGAACAUCAGCCAAAACUCUUACAAGAAUUAUAGGAUUAAAGCAAUUUACGGAAUCCUAACAAAGUUGCUUUGUACCUUAAAAUAUUUAAAUACACUAAGAAGGAUAAAUUACUCUUUGAGCAGUUUAAAACAAAUUAAGUUUACCAAAUAUCUUCACUUAGGAUGAAUUAUUAUGGAGUCGAAAAUCUUAUAUAGCAUUACUUCCUUUCUUGUAAGGAACAAAUAAUAAAGUGUUAUUAUAAAGUACAUAAGCUGUUGUCUUUUAAGAUUAAAAAAACAACAGCAGGGAAGACUUAAGGAUUUUUUCCAGAUGCUAUUUGUCAUUGAUACAGUAUCAAAUAAUUCUUUAAGAUCAGGCAUAGAUUAACUCAGUAUCAUUUUCAACCUAGAAGAAAUGACCUGCAUAUUAAGAUUUUAAUUCACUGAGUCAUAAUGCAAACCAGAGAAGGUGGAACAUUAUUAUGGCAUGCUAUGUGGGUAGGCACUGCUUUAGCAAACCUAUUGAGAAACAUAAAUCACAUCACUUCUUAAGUCUUACAGCUCUGGUAUAAAGGUGGCCCUUGUCCACAUAUUAAAAUCAAUGAUAUUUACAAUAAAGGAUCAGUUGAUCAGAUUGUUGAUAGUUGGAGAAGUUUUACUAAAUAGUAAUUUUCUUUAAGGUUUAUAUAAUAUACCUUUUAGAAAUUUCUCAUUAACAUUUCUGAUGGAAUGAGAGGAAGAAAUAAACUCCAGGGUUUAUAGUUAUAAUAGCUAACAAUGUAAGUAAUGAUCAUCCUGCCAGGAAAUACAGUUUCUUACAUAUAUUAUCUUAUUUAAUUCUAAAGGCAACUCUAUGAGACAAGUCUACAGAGAUCAGAGAAUGAACUCUUACAUCAAAGUCCUUGGAUUAAAAUCCUGGUUCCACCACUUCCUAAUCAUGUUUGACCUUGGGCAUAUUUUUAUGCCUUGUCAAAAAGGGGUGGGGGAGGAGUAAUAAGUCUGCCAUACAAUGUUGUACCCAUAAUAAAUUAACAUAUAUAAGGAGCUUAGUGGUGCCUAGCUAAAUAAUGUUUUCAAUUAUUAGUUUGAUCCUGUUAUAAGAUGCCCUCUUAUAACCCUCAGUUUCAUUACCCUACAUAAUCAAGAGAAGUGGAGAGUGCCUCCAAAAAUGAAUUCUACCAACCAUCCCAGAAGAAAGGGAAAACUGAUACAAUGGGACAUGUUAAAAUGUAGUAAAUGUGUAUACAAUUUUUACGUAUAAUAUGUAUUUUUUCUUUAUUGCAUUUCAAUAUUCAUUAAUAUAAAUGGUCUGUUUUGCUUAACACUAACUGGUAUUUGUUAAAAUUAACAAGGUUCCUGGGGCACCUGCGUGGCUAAGUCAGUUAAGCAUCUGCCAUCAGCUCAGGUCAUGAUCCCAGAGCCCUGGUUUGGAGCCCCACAUUGGACUCUCUGCUCAGCAGGGAGCCUGCUUCUCCCUCUCCCUCUGCCUGAGGCUUCCCCUGCUUGUGUUCUCUAUCAAAUAAAUAAGCUCUUAAAAUAAUACUGAGGUUGUUGAAUGCCAUAUUGGGACAUUUUUGAAAAAGCAAUUACAAAAUAGCAUCUAACAUAUCCUCUACAUCACAAAAAGUCUUAGACAUAUAUUUUUUGUGAAUUAUUUUAACUGCGUUGAGCAUGCACUGCUUCUAGAAUUGGAAACAAUAAAGCAAAAAAGGAAAAUGGAUAGUUUUGGCAAUGACUAUGGUAUUGGGGACUCAAGGAUUUUUUUUAAUAAAAAAUGAUAUCUGGUUUUAUUUGUGCCUAUACUUAUUUUCUUCAUUCAGAUUCAUCUUGAUUGCAGUGUGUGAAACAAAACAACCUUCAAACUCCAGAACAAACUGGAUACUAUUUUAGAACAAACAUAAUGCCCUAGUUGAAAAAAUGCUCUAGUUUAAAAACCUAUUAAAAAUUAUCAAUUGAGGAAAAAUAAUCAACUGGGGUGGUAGUGAGGAAGCAUAGCUCAGAGUGCUUUUGUAAAAGGCGUUUCACCAUCUCCAAUUCUGAUUCUCUGCCUCUCUUAAGAGUCAUCCGUAUUCACUUUGCUUUGUUCCAGAUGCUUACUGAACCGGCCCCUUUUAAAAAAAAA
This 3113-nucleotide long non-coding RNA is filed under the name Canis lupus familiaris (dog). RNAcentral's name for it is "lncRNA (ENSCAFG00000057303.1)". The record is from RNAcentral. Lineage: Eukaryota; Metazoa; Chordata; Mammalia; Carnivora; Canidae.